RNAcentral lists this transfer RNA (72 nucleotides) under Phalaenopsis aphrodite subsp. formosana. RNAcentral describes it as "tRNA-Glu". The record is from RNAcentral. Lineage: Eukaryota; Viridiplantae; Streptophyta; Magnoliopsida; Asparagales; Orchidaceae.
GUUCUUUUAGUUUCAUGAGAAAAACCUCGGUCUUCAUCCGAGUGAGUAGGCGUUCGAUUCGCCUAAAGAUCA